Molecule: transfer RNA, 72 nt
Filed under: Planctomycetota bacterium
Lineage: Bacteria; Pseudomonadati; Planctomycetota
Description: Planctomycetes bacterium (mine drainage metagenome) tRNA-Thr
Rfam family: tRNA
About the family: Transfer RNA (tRNA) molecules are approximately 80 nucleotides in length. Their secondary structure includes four short double-helical elements and three loops (D, anti-codon, and T loops).
Source: RNAcentral
GCCGGCGUAGCUCAGCGGUAGAGCAUCGCUUUUGUAAAGCGAGGGUCGCAGGUUCAAUCCCUGUCGCCGGCU